GAGGCAUACUACUCCCGUUCAAACCAGCAGGAAUGGCAGUCGGAUCUUGGAGGUAUGAUAUUUGAGGUGGGCGCUAUCCUUUAUCACUACGGGUUCGUGGUGAGUAUUCGUGAUUGAUGCUUCUACUGACAGUAUGAACAGAACGACAACACAAACACAAGACU
Long non-coding RNA from Ornithodoros turicata, 164 nucleotides. RefSeq lists it as uncharacterized. The record is from RefSeq and is a predicted model, not a curated record. The transcript is spliced from 3 exons. NCBI's taxonomy places the organism in Eukaryota, Metazoa, Arthropoda, Arachnida, Ixodida, Argasidae.